UGAUUAUUAUUGUGUCAAAAUUUAAUGUUAGAAAAUAUGAAGGUACAUGCAUGGUAUUUAUAUGGACAUUGUGUUUUUUUGUUCUUUUUUUGUUUGAUAAAUAUUUAUGUGGACAUUGUUGUCCAAAUUUUUUUGAUAAAUUUUUAGUGGACGCAAUCUAUCGUAUAGUUUAUACGUCUACGUUUUGUCCAAUUAGUUCCUUAUAACAACAUUGUAACAUG
Molecule: long non-coding RNA, 221 nt
Filed under: Capsella rubella
Lineage: Eukaryota; Viridiplantae; Streptophyta; Magnoliopsida; Brassicales; Brassicaceae
Description: long non-coding RNA (CRUB_LNC001067)
Source: RNAcentral